RNAcentral lists this transfer RNA (89 nucleotides) under Acholeplasmatales bacterium. Its description in RNAcentral is "tRNA-Ser". It matches the Rfam family "tRNA". Rfam says of the family: Transfer RNA (tRNA) molecules are approximately 80 nucleotides in length. Lineage: Bacteria; Bacillati; Mycoplasmatota; Mollicutes; Acholeplasmatales. The record is from RNAcentral.
GGAGUGAUACCCAAGUGGUCGAAGGGGCGGGCUUGGAAAGCUCGUAGGACGUAAAAGUCGCUAGGGUUCAAAUCCCUAUCGCUCCGCCA